RNAcentral lists this ribosomal RNA (301 nucleotides) under uncultured bacterium. Its description in RNAcentral is "partial 16S ribosomal RNA". It matches the Rfam family "Bacterial small subunit ribosomal RNA", at positions 512 to 809 of the family's 1533-position model. The record is from RNAcentral.
CAGUCCCGCGGUAACACGUAGGUCCCGAGCGUUGUCCGGAUUUAUUGGGCGUAAAGCGAGCGCAGGCGGUUACUUAAGCAGGAUGUGAAAUCCCCGGGCUCAACCUGGGAACUGCGUUCUGAACUGGGUGACUAGAGUGUGUCAGAGGGAGGUAGAAUUCCACGUGUAGCGGUGAAAUGCGUAGAGAUGUGGAGGAAUACCGAAGGCGAAGGCAGCCCCUUGGGAAAGUACUGACGCUCAUGUGCGAAAGCGUGGGGAGCAAACAGGAUUAGAUACCCCAGUAGUCCCUGUCUCUUUACAC